Molecule: ribosomal RNA, 274 nt
Filed under: uncultured bacterium
Lineage: Bacteria
Description: partial 16S ribosomal RNA
Rfam family: Bacterial small subunit ribosomal RNA
Source: RNAcentral
AUACGGAGGGUGCAAGCGUUGUUGGGAAUCACUGGGCGUAAAGGGCGCGCAGGCGGUUUGGUAAGUCAGAUGUGAAAGCCCACGGCUCAACCGUGGAAGUGCAUUUGAAACUGUCAGACUUGAGUACUAGAGGGGAAAGUGGAAUUCCCGGUGUAGAGGUGAAAUUCGUAGAUAUCGGGAGGAAUACCGGUGGCGAAGGCGACUUUCUGGCUAGAUACUGACGCUGAGGCGCGAAAGCGUGGGGAGCAAACAGGAUUAGAUACCCUAGUAGUCC